RNAcentral lists this ribosomal RNA (236 nucleotides) under Strongylocentrotus purpuratus (purple sea urchin). RNAcentral's name for it is "partial 18S ribosomal RNA". It matches the Rfam family "Eukaryotic small subunit ribosomal RNA", at positions 1406 to 1645 of the family's 1831-position model. Lineage: Eukaryota; Metazoa; Echinodermata; Echinoidea; Camarodonta; Strongylocentrotidae. The record is from RNAcentral.
ACUNNUUAGAGGAACAAGUNCCGUUUAGCCACGCGAGAUUGAGCAAUAACAGGUCUGUGAUGCCCUUAGAUGUUCGGGGCGCACGCGCGCUACACUGGCGGAAUCAGCGUGUCACUGCCCUUGGCCGGAAGGUCUGGGUAAUCCGCUAAACCUCCUCCGUGAUGGGGAUAGGGAGUUGCAAUUAUCUCCCUUGAACGAGGAAUUCCCAGUAAGCCGAGUCAUCAGCUCGCGUUGAU